UGGGGAAUCUUGCGCAAUGGCCGAAAGGCUGACGCAGCGACGCCGCGUGUGGGAGGACGCUCUUCGGGGUGUAAACCACUGUUGCCCGGGACGAACACACCAUUUCGAUGGUGCUGACGGUACCGGGUGAGGAAGCACCGGCUAACUCCGUGCCAGCAGCCGCGGUAAUACGGAGGGUGCGAGCGUUGUCCGGAAUCACUGGGCGUAAAGGGCGCGUAGGUGGCCGAGCAAGGUCGCGGUGAAAGCCCGGGGCUCAACCCCGGGUCGGCCGUGGCAACUACUUGGCUUGAGCACUGUAGGGGCGGGUGGAAUUCCGGGUGUAGCGGUGGAAUGCGUAGAUAUCAGGAGGAACACCGGUGGCGAAGGCGGUUCUCUGGGCAUGACCUGACGCUGAGGAGCGAAAGUGUGGGGAGCGAACAGGAUUAGAUACCC
Molecule: ribosomal RNA, 432 nt
Filed under: uncultured bacterium
Lineage: Bacteria
Description: bacterial SSU rRNA
Rfam family: Bacterial small subunit ribosomal RNA
Source: RNAcentral